GCCCAACAGCUAGCCCCCAAGCCCAAAAACAACAAAUCAAUAUUUAUACCCCCAAAUACACUAAUCUUGUAUAAAACAAACCAUUUUUCCCCCUUAGUAUGUGCGACAGAAAAGGGACUGUAGAGCAAUAGAAAAAGUACCGCAAGGGAACGCUGAAAGAGAAAUGAAACAACUCAGUAAAGCCUAAGAAAGCAGAGAUUAUACCUCGUACCUUUUGCAUCAUGAUUUAGCCAGUGUGCACCAAGCAAAGCGUGCUUUAGUUUGACAACCCGAAACUAAGUGAGCUACUCCAAGACAGCCUAUUAAUAGGGCAAACCCGUCUCUGUGGCAAAAGAGUGGGAAGAGCUUUGAGUAGAGGUGACAGACCUACCGAACUUAGUUAUAGCUGGUUGCCGGGGAAUUGGACAGAAGUUCAGCCUCACGGAUUCUUUAUUCACCUUAGUAUCACCCACUUCCGAUACCUUAAGAAGCCGAGAGAGUUAGUCAAACGGGGUACAGCCCGUUUGAAUCAAGAUACAACUUUUCCAGGAGGGUAAAGAUCAUAAUUACUGAAGGGAACAUAUUUGGGUGGGCCUAAAAGCAGCCAUCCCCCUAGAAAGCGUUAAAGCUCAGAUAUACUAAUGCCCCCUCCCUAUUAGGAUCAUAAACUCUUAUCCCCCUAGUUUUACCCGGCCGUCCCAUAAACUCAUGGGAGCGACCCUGCUAAUAUGAGUAAUAAGAGGGCUUACGCCUCUCUCCUUGCACAUGUGUAAAUCGGAACGGACCACCCACCGACCUUUAACGGCCCCAAAUUAAGAGGGCAUUGAGUGACAGACCAAACAACCAGAAGAACACUCAACAAAUUGACCGUUAUCCCCACACAGGUGUGCCCCUAAGGAAAGACUAAAAGAAAGAGAAGGAACUCGGCAAACACACCAAGCCUCGCCUGUUUACCAAAAACAUCGCCUCUUGUAAAACUUAAAAAUAAGAGGUCCCGCCUGCCCUGUGACUCUAAGUUUAACGGCCGCGGUAUUUUGACCGUGCGAAGGUAGCGCAAUCACUUGUCUUUUAAAUGGAGACCUGUAUGAAUGGCAUAACGAGGGCUUAACUGUCUCCUCUUUUAAGUCAAUGAAAUUGAUCCCCCCGUGCAGAAGCGGGGAUGACAACAUAAGACGAGAAGACCCUAUGAAGCUUUAGAUGUAAGGCAGAUCAUGUUAAACACUCCUUAAUAACGGACUAAACCAAAGGAAGCCUGCCCUAAUGUCUUUGGUUGGGGCGACCGCGGGGAAACAAACAACCCCCACGUGGAAUGGGAGUACUCCCUCCUACAACUAAGAGCUGCCGCUCUAGUUAACAGAAUUUCUGACCAAUAAGAUCCGGCAAUGCCGAUCAACGGACCGAGCUACUCUAGGGAUAACAGCGCAAUCCCCUUUUAGAGCCCAUAUCGACAAGGGGGUUUACGACCUCGAUGUUGGAUCAGGACAUCCUAAUGGUGCAGCCGCUAUUAAGGGUUCGUUUGUUCAACGAUUAAAGUCCUACGUGAUCUGAGUUCAGACCGGAGUAAUCCAGGUCAGUUUCUAUCUAUGAUAUGUUCUUUUCUAGUACGAAAGGACCGAAAAGAAGAGGCCUAUACCUUGGGUACGCCUCACCCCUACCUAAUGAAAACAACUAAACUAGGCAAGAGGGCGUGCCCCCCCUGCCGGAGAGAACGGCAU
This 1694-nucleotide ribosomal RNA is filed under the name Etheostoma fonticola (fountain darter). RNAcentral's name for it is "16S ribosomal RNA". It matches the Rfam family "Bacterial large subunit ribosomal RNA". Lineage: Eukaryota; Metazoa; Chordata; Actinopteri; Perciformes; Percidae. The record is from RNAcentral.